AAAAGUACCUGCAUCAUUAAAACUCAAUGCUACGAGUGAGCGAGCGCCCUGUCGUGAGAUGGCCGCCAAAAUGCGGACGUUGCACUCAAUUGGCCAGCAGCGCGGACGAGCCAUCUAGCCUUUAUACACAUAUCUAUAGAGGGGUUGCAAGUUUACAAACAUUGCAGGGUGCGCGCGCAUCCAGGGGGCAGAAAGCCCGAUUGGUGAGCUGAUCCGCUACUGCAACAACCUUAAUUAUUGAAGCGUUCUUUAUUGUUUGUAUAUAAAUAAGACUUGAUUUUAGUUGGAUCUGUUUUUCUGUCUUUAUUUUUGCAGUUUUACUGUGAUACAUGUAUGAAUUAUAAUGUUAUAAUUUUAAUGCUAGUAACGUAAUAGUCGCAUCUACUGGUAUGUUAACAUCAGGCACCCAGCACUGACUCUGUUGGUACUAUUUUCCACGCAAAAAUUCCUUGGCAUUUUGACUUACAGACACCGCUACUAGCAUACAACACAAUGCACGUCUCUUCUUUCUGCCCCUCGGUUGCGCGCGCAACCAGUUAGUGACGUCGCCGUGCAACCCGUCUAUGGGCUACAGUGGUUGGGUGGGUGCGCCGCUCUAAUGUGCCCGUUAAGAACGUUAUGCGUCGCAUUAGUUCCGCUUUUGGCGCUCGCGUGUAAAAUCAAAAUAAAUGUAUACUUUUUUAUUUGGUCAGCACGGGGUGGCCACAGGGGUGGCCAGGGACUUGUCUACAGAGGCACGGGCCACCCUUGGCCUCCGUGUAGAACCGCCACUGGGUCUAAUUGAGCCUUGACGUCUAAUAAUGAGAGCUGAAAACAGCGGCGACACAUGAUUAUUCAAACAUUUAAAAACCAAAUGUUUGGGUUUUCUGGGUUUGUUUUAAAUUAAUGGGUCCUUAAAACCAUCUGUAAAUGUGUGUAUAUUAUACAACAAAUCUAAUUUUUCCUGCUCUGACAAAAAUAAACUAUAUUUUAGAUUUUAGGUGAAGUGGCAGCGGGUAUUUUAUGACAAAUACAGAUUGAUAUAAACAUUUGUUUUUAACAUCACAAGUAUUCUUUAUAGUCAACAAUCAAGAAUCAAACAUUUUAGAUGUAUCUGGUUUAACCUAAAUCUGAUAUUAUCUAUUGAACUAGACUAUUUUUCUGAUCAGCCACAAACAAGAAGCUGCUCUGUGUGUGUCUGUGUGCGUGAGAGAAUUCACAGCAGGGGCAGAUUGUAAAUUUGAUUGUAAAGACUGCGUGUCUCACAGCAGGGGCCGGUGUUUAGAGGUCCUAUCUGUUUCUUUAGACGAAAACCUGUAUAUUUUAAACUAAAUAAAAUUUUAACCGGUUCAUGAGAUCCGUGAGUCUUUUCCCGACCCGAUCUCUAUGUUCACGCGCAUUAAAGCUCGCUUGACAGAGAACGAGUCGAGUGCGUGUACAUGUCUGCCAUUUUAAAAUAAACUUAAUAAAUGUAAUUCUGUCCGCUCUGGCAAAAUAAAGGUUUAUUUUAGAUUUAGGGAUUUCUUUAACCAAGUCUCUGAUUAAAACAUGUGAAUGCGCACACCAACGGUGACAGAGAACGUACGCUGAUGGGCCCUUAAUAUCUGUUAAGAACCUUUUAAACGUUUUAAGACAUUUCAGCCAAUCUUCUGGUUUGAAUUCAUUAAUGUCACCUAACCUCCAAGUGUGUAUAUGUGUAUUUACGAUAAAUGUAACAUGGUCCGCAUUGUCAAAAUAAAAGGUUAUCAUACAUGGAUUUCCUCUGCGUGUUUUUUGUCACGCGAAUGCUUGUCAUAUUUAUUGAUGUGAAAAAAAAGUUUGUUGUUUUGGACGUUCAGUUUCUGGACUGUCAGUUUUUACGAGAGUCUCUCGCUCUCACCAUCCGUUCUCACCCAGAAGCCCCCAGCGUCUCUCAACGGGGUGCCCUUGUAAAGGAGUAAAGAUUUCUAAAACUCUGUGUUGGUAAAAUAAAUGUAAUUCAGCGCACCAAAAGUAAAGGUUUUUUUUAGAUUUUAGGUGGAGCACCCGCGCCUAUUUUAUGGCAAACACUGCAGGAUCUAAAAGUUUGUAACACCAAGAAUUUAUUUAACGAAACAUUCAGUACGUCUAUAAACAAUGCCCCCUAGGCCAUAAUCUCCGGGGUCGUCAAUACUACUUUCUUUUGAUUAAAGGGUAUUUAUUUUAACCUAAAUAAAAGUUUAAUCGCUUCACGAACUCUGUGAAUCUGUUCAUGCACCGCAUUCUAUUGUUCACGCGUAUUAAAGGUCGAUCACCGGUGGUGACAGAGAACGAGCCGGGUGCGUGUUGUGGAAUUUGAUGUUGUUCAAAUGUAUUCUACUAAUCAUAUUAUUAUAAUUCAGCUUAUGUGUGCCUUUACAAAAUUGAUUCUUAUGCUGAAAAUAUGAGGGUUGUCUGUGUGUGUGCUGCAAGGUCGUGGUUUCGGUUGAACGUAGGACCGACCUUGCAGCUGCUGGUGAUAGCCAAAACAAGAACAACGCUUGAAGGAGAAAACACACAGACAAAAGAAAUACAUGCUUUUGAUAUUAAUUCACUAAUAAUCAUUCAUUUCCAGAUUAUUACAUAUAGAAGUGUUUGGAUUUAUAAAAUUAAAUGUUGUCAUGAAUAUUAAUGUAUUAAAAUAUAUAAAUGAUUAUGCCUUUGUGCCCAUGAAUAAUGUAGAAGAUUGCCCUGUAAUAAGACAUCGCCAUAUAAGGAUGAAAUGCUCUAGGGCACAAGGUGUUCUGUAUGUUUGUGUGUUAUAUACCCCCACAGGCCGAAGCAGGGUGUAGUAAUGGAGUCAGAUAAUGAGAUGAGAACCGCCUGUUAUGGGGAGGAGAGAUUUGAAGAAAGAACGACGUCACAUAUCAUAUAAAUAUUCAUGUAUUUCCGUAAGCUGGGGUUGGUUGCUUGCCACAUGGGGCCUUGAAACAACCCAGCGCUGUAAAACUUUUUCAUAUCUGAUCAAUAAAUAGCUUAUUUUUUUUAUACCGUGUCUUUCCUCUAAUUAUGAACAUGCAGAUGGACCCUUAAAGUCCAACAAUUGGUGACCCCGACGUUCUUUGGAGGGAAAGGAGAGACUGAGCGGAAGAAGGGUUUCACAUUGAAGAAACCAGAGUAAGCGAGGAUUCCCUUUCAACACAAAAAGAGCGCUCUAUUAAAAUAAGGUAAGCAGAAGCCUGUUUUAUCGAAUUCUGCUAUUUGGAUAUACCAAAUUACUUGUGUUGAUAAGGAGAUCCGAACUGAAAUACAAAUUUACAUUUUUGUAAAUUGAUCAGAGUGAAAAACUUUUUGAAAUCUUUGAAUUUUGUUAUUAAAUAAAAGGUUGAGGAGUCCUUUAACGCAUUAGGCGUUAUAAAAUACCAACUUGGUUGUAGCCAAAAGGAGUGAAAGGCUCUUGGAUGAAAGGUCCAUAAAUACUGUUAAUGGCGGUGUAAGUUAACAGAAUUAAUUAAAAAGGUUGAGGAUUCCUUUAAUACAUUAGGUAUUAUAAAAUACCGACUCAGGUUGUAUAGCCUGUAGGGGGUGUACAGCAGCCCGUUGGAUGAGAGGUCCACGAAUACUGGAAAGAAGAAGUGACGUCUUAAUGUGAAUAGUAUUGUUGAUAUAUUGUUGUUAUUUUUGUGACAUUUCUGUGAAAGUUGUAUUGUGUUUGUAUUGCGGGUGAAACUCCUGAAAACUACUGGUGUAUAUAUCUUUCUGCUAGAAAAGAGUGACGUGUUGUGCUUUUUGAAGUUUUGAAUGCUUGUAAAUUGUGUGAAAAUGGCUAAAUUUUAAAAAAAAUGUGAUGAGUAUGGUUGCCUAACAGUGUAUGUGCAAUGGCAAAAAGGCAAGUAGUUUGGAAAGGGACCAACUGUAAAAGACUCAGAAACAGAUUUGAGAAAGGGGACGAUUACAAAGAGAAAAGGGGAGGUUGACAGUUGUGCUGUGAGCGAGCAAAAGGAAGUAGAACAAGGAAGCACUGAGCCAGUACCCUCAGCCCCACCCAUGGCUCCUCCUCAAGUGAAGUCACUAUAUCCCUCACUGCACACACCUCCUCCUUAUGAGGAAAAGUCUGUUUCGAUCUCAAAGCAACAGCUGGUGUUAACAGUAAACAGUGGUGAACUAGAUGCUGAAUUUGAUGAAAUAAAGGCCCUGAAAAUAAAAAUGGAAAGAUUACAACAAACAAUUAUGACACAGGGAGAGAUAAUCACAACUCUAUUAAGAUUAUAGAGAAAUACAAAUGAUAGCAACAUGGGAAAGAGAUCUUGUGUAUUACACAGACAGGGCCAUAAACAAAUCACACAAACAGAACUAGUAGAGGUAGAUAAGAUUAAGAAUAAGCUUUUGAAACUGCAGCUAGAACAGACUAAACAGGCAAACACAAAAAAGAAACAAAUGCCCCAGCAGGCCCAACCAACACCAGUAGCUAUGACAACUAGUGUCCCAGACAACGUACAAUAUCUCAAUCAGCUCAUAGAUUCAUAUACAGGCCCACCCUAUACAGGAAACCCGUGGGAGGGAUAUAACCAACAGAGAAGGGGAGGGCCAAGAAGGAGUAGUAGACCAAAACGGGGAGGUUUUGGAGGUUUUGGCAGGAAUACAUGUUAUGUGUGUGGACAGGAAGGACAUUGGAGACGGCAUUGUCCCAACACUUGGUCACAGCCCCAAAAUUCUGGUGCUAGACCACUUAACGGAUCACCUGCGGGGGGAUGGGGUCCCCGAGGAGGUGGUGCCGGGCGUGGAGCCGGUGGCUAUGGCAGGGGGCCACCGAGAUCGCACAACCCAUCACAACCAGAUUUAAUGGCGCCUAUGCACCCAACAUGGGGCCAAAGGGAGUGAUGCGGAUGAAUGACGGGGCACACAGGAACCCACCAUGAAAGGAAUGGCUGGGCCUCUCAUGGAAAUAGUGGUGAACCACACCACUAAGAGCCCUAGUGGAUAAUGAGCCUAAAUAGUUAACAAAAAACAAAAAACAAAAACAAAAAAAAAAAAAAAAAAAAAAUUUAACAACGGUGGGGAUAAUGGGUUUCUGGUAAAAUUGAAAAGUGACUAUCAACAAAUCACUACCCUAUAAGGUAGCAAACCAGUCUAGUUUGCACACAUUUCUGUAUUCCUCCAACACACUUAUUAAUAAUAGAAAGGGACCUAGAAAUUACAAUGACCUGUCAAUGUUGUAAUGUGCCCCCGGACGGAUGGGGCACAAAUGAAUGGCUAAUUAAACUAUGGAGAGAUAGAGCCUUAUGUCUGAUCCAGGACCAGAGACUUAUGUUAUUUAUUUAUUUUUUUAUAUAUAUA
Misgurnus anguillicaudatus (oriental weatherfish) is the source of this 5253-nucleotide non-coding RNA. The record is from RefSeq and is a predicted model, not a curated record. NCBI's taxonomy places the organism in Eukaryota, Metazoa, Chordata, Actinopteri, Cypriniformes, Cobitidae.